GGGGAGGGCGGUGCGGGAGAGCGGACGCGGCCUGGGAGCCGCGCGGAGGGAGGAUGCGCCCCGGGGAGCGGCGGCCGCAGAUGGGAGCGGUGCAGAGGGCUCAGGCUCCGGGCAGCUGUCACCUGAAAGCCUCAGAUCCCCGUGUGGGCCUCUCCAUGUGGUCUUGUCUGCUUGGAUUAGUUUGCGCUUCCUCACAGCAUGGUGACUGGAUUCCAGGAUUUUAUUUAUUCAUGAGAGACACAGAAAGAGAGAGAGGCAGAGACACAGGCAGAGGGAGAAGUAGGCUCCAUGCAGGGAGCCCAACGCGGGACUUGAUUCCAGGACUCCAGGAUCGCGCCCUGGGCUGAAGGCGGCGCUAAACCGCUGAGCCACCUGCGCUGCCCUCAUGCUCUUGAAUUAAGGUACGCUUCUUGUAUCGCUGUGGCAGUAACACUAUAUAAGAGUAUGCUGUGGUGCCUCUUUGCCGGACCCAGCAUUUAGUAACAUCAUGUUAGUAGCUUGAAAUCAGCCAUGGGGGAUGUACUUACAGCACAGAAAUUACUUACAAACACAGAGUUUGACGUAUUGUUAUUUAUUUGUUAAUUAUCACAUUCAUUCAUCAAUUGUAACUAUAGGUUAUGGAGACAAGAGUAAAGGAAAGACCAAUGAAAGCAUUCUUUGAGGAUUGAUUGGCUAUAUGGAAUUGAUAAUAAACUGUAUUGUAUAUUUUAUUAUGUAUAAGUUGUGUGUUACACAUCGUUUAUAUCAGUAAAGUUUAUAAUAAAUAUAUCGGUACUUUUUUUCCCUGAAGAGCUGAUUGUUAAACAUUUACCAAACACACUACUCAACUGAGGUCCACUGUCCCUGAGACUAGCAGUGGGAUGAGGGUAUGCAACACAGAGGACGGCCUGCUCCCUCACCCCUGGCCCUGAACUGUCUGAUGGGGAGUCAGAUACGAAGGUAAUAAUACAGCCCUGGGUGAUGAGGAAGGAAGGUGCUGAGGAAUCUAGUCCAGGGAGGUGUCCAGAGGAUCUGAGACUCACAUGGGCGCUCAAAGGAUGAGUAAGAAUCAGCUAGCCAAAGGAACACCAUGAGCAAUGCUCAGCUGUGGGCAGGAACAAUAGCGACAGAGGAUGGAAAGUUGAGGACCCCCGGGCGUGCUAUGCCUGCAGUUAGUGGGGUCAGGUUUGGAUGGGCAAUUCUGUGCUAAUUCGACAAGUAAACAGUAGGUGUUGCAUGUUCAGAGCUUCUGGCUAGACUGUAAAAGGUGGCGGCGAUGAACAUGAGCUGCACAGGCCAUCCGGCUCCCCUGCACCCAGCUCUGCUGCCUGCUGAACAACCAGGCUGGUGGCCAAGCAGCUCUUGCCAGGGUUAGUCACUGCGGGCGUGGCUGCCCCCAAGUGGUCCAUCGGAGGCACUGCUGGGAGCAGGAAGGAAGCACUGAGAAGCCACCGUGGACUAGGGCCUGUGACACCCACAAGAGGUUGGGGAUUGGGAAUUGUACUUGUUUCCUACACUCAAGCUGUUCCAGUGAUCCCCAUCUUUUCAAGCUAACAAAACUGAGUUAUAACCUACACACAAUAGAGUACACAGAUCUUCAGUUUUCAGUUUAAUAAGUUUUGAUAAUUUUAUAUUACUUGUAACUACGACCCAAAACAAGAUCUAGAAUAUUUCUAUCGCCCCAGAAAAAAUUGUUCUCUUUUUAGUCAGUCAACUCGCCCCUCCCACCCACCCCACAAUCAGCAGCCCCUAGGUUCAUUUGUAUCACAUUAACUUUCCAGUUGUUAAACUUCAUGUAAGUGGAAUCAUAUAGUAUAGCUUUGUUUUGGUUUUUUUGGUCUGGCUUAUUUUGCCUAAUAUAAUGUAUUUUAGAUUCAUUCAUUUUUUUUAAAUGAAGAUUUUUUUUUUUAAGAUUUAUUUAUUUAUUCAUUCAGAGAGAGCGAAGAGAGAGGCAGAGACACAGGCAGAGGGAGAAGCAGGCUCCACGCAGGGAGCCUGAUGUGGGACUCGAUCCUGGGUCUCCAGGAUCACACCCCGGGCUGCAGGCGGCGCUAAACCACUGCGCCACCAGGGCUACCCUUUAGAUUCAUUUAUAUUGCUGCAUGUAUCCAUUGCUCAUUCAUUUUUCUCCUUGAGUCAUAUUAUAUUGUAUGAAUAUAUAAUAAUUUGUUUAUCCAUUCUCUUGUUGCUGGCUGUUUCCAGUUUUCAGCUACUAUGAAUAAAGUUGCAACCAAUUUGCA
Molecule: long non-coding RNA, 2219 nt
Filed under: Canis lupus familiaris (dog)
Lineage: Eukaryota; Metazoa; Chordata; Mammalia; Carnivora; Canidae
Description: lncRNA (ENSCAFG00845018840.1)
Source: RNAcentral